RNAcentral lists this ribosomal RNA (1473 nucleotides) under Planktothrix agardhii NIVA-CYA 126/8. Its description in RNAcentral is "bacterial SSU rRNA". It matches the Rfam family "Bacterial small subunit ribosomal RNA". The record is from RNAcentral. Lineage: Bacteria; Bacillati; Cyanobacteriota; Cyanophyceae; Oscillatoriales; Microcoleaceae.
AGAGUUUGAUCCUGGCUCAGGAUGAACGCUGGCGGUCUGCUUAACACAUGCAAGUCGAACGGAAUCCUUAGGGAUUUAGUGGCGGACGGGUGAGUAACACGUAAGAACCUGCCUCUAGGACGGGGACAACAGUUGGAAACGACUGCUAAACCCGGAUGAGCCGAAAGGUAAAAGAUUAAUCGCCUAGAGAGGGGCUUGCGUCUGAUUAGCUAGUUGGUGAGGUAAGAGCCCACCAAGGCGACGAUCAGUAGCUGGUCUGAGAGGAUGAUCAGCCACACUGGGACUGAGACACGGCCCAGACUCCUACGGGAGGCAGCAGUGGGGAAUUUUCCGCAAUGGGCGAAAGCCUGACGGAGCAAGACCGCGUGGGGGAGGAAGGUUCUUGGAUUGUCAACCCCUUUUCUCAGGGAAGAACACAAUGACGGUACCUGAGGAAAAAGCAUCGGCUAACUCCGUGCCAGCAGCCGCGGUAAUACGGGGGAUGCAAGCGUUAUCCGGAAUGAUUGGGCGUAAAGAGUCCGUAGGUAGUCAUCCAAGUCUGCUGUUAAAGAGCGAGGCUUAACCUCGUAAAGGCAGUGGAAACUGGAAGACUAGAGUGUAGUAGGGGCAGAGGGAAUUCCUGGUGUAGCGGUGAAAUGCGUAGAGAUCAGGAAGAACACCGGUGGCGAAGGCGCUCUGCUGGGCUAUAACUGACACUGAGGGACGAAAGCUAGGGGAGCGAAUGGGAUUAGAUACCCCAGUAGUCCUAGCGGUAAACGAUGGAAACUAGGUGUGGCCUGUAUCGACCCGGGCCGUGCCGAAGCAAACGCGUUAAGUUUCCCGCCUGGGGAGUACGCACGCAAGUGUGAAACUCAAAGGAAUUGACGGGGGCCCGCACAAGCGGUGGAGUAUGUGGUUUAAUUCGAUGCAACGCGAAGAACCUUACCAGGACUUGACAUCUCUGGAAUCUCCUUGAAAGGGGAGAGUGCCGUAAGGAACCAGAAGACAGGUGCUGCAUGGCUGUCGUCAGCUCGUGUCGUGAGAUGUUGGGUUAAGUCCCGCAACGAGCGCAACCCUCGUCGUUAGUUGCCAUCAUUAAGUUGGGAACUCUAGCGAGACUGCCGGUGACAAACCGGAGGAAGGUGAGGAUGACGUCAAGUCAGCAUGGCCCUUACGUCCUGGGCGACACACGUACUACAAUGCGAGGGACACAGAGCAGCCAACCCGCGAGGGAGAGCGAAUCUCACAAACCCUGGCACAGUUCAGAUUGCAGGCUGCAACUCGCCUGCAUGAAGGAGGAAUCGCUAGUAAUCGCAGGUCAGCAUACUGCGGUGAAUCCGUUCCCGGGCCUUGUACACACCGCCCGUCACACCAUGGAAGUGAGCCACGCCCGAAGUCAUUACUCUAACCCUUUCGGGGGAGGAGGGUGCCGAAGGCGGGGUUGAUGACUGGGGUGAAGUCGUAACAAGGUAGCCGUACCGGAAGGUGUGGCUG